GAUGUUUUGACAGUUGAUUCAUUUACAAAAACCUUAAUUACUAAUUAUUUCGUAUCGGAGAUAAAAGAUAAAGAAAAUAUUUUAAAAUGAAUAGAAAACAGUCUACAAACUCUGUAUUUCCAUAUUUGUACGAACAAGUUGAAUUAAAACCCAUUAUUUCUGGCACUCAUGGAGCUUCUUAUGACAGGAGAGUCAAAAUAACCGACUGGCAAGAUCGAUAUUUAAUAGAACCACGUGACAAAACAGAUUUUUUUCCACCAAAAGGAAAUUUGCGAAUGGCUACUUAUAACAGAUUAGGAACUUAUGAGCCUCAAAAAUAUUUAACAGAAACGAAAGAAAACAUUAGAAAAUAUGAACCUUCCGAUUUUGAAAAACACCCUGCACCAGUCAAGAUGCUAAAUAUUUUUUCUUAUCCACUCACUGAUACUGAUGACAAAUCUAAAGUCAACACUGAAAUAAAAAUAUCCCGCAGCCCAGAAAACGUACCCGAAAUUAUAGAGGAAUUACCAAAUACUUUGUACAGAAGAACUUUGGGAUAUACUUUGGAAGAUCUUGAAAAAUUAGAAGGCACAAGAACUUUCUUAGACGAGGAUUUAGAAUUGCAUAAAAAAAUAGCUGAUAUCAAAAUAAAGCAAUACGAUAGAUAAAAUUUAAUCAAAACUAGGGCAUUUAAAAAAUUGCAUGAACAAUUUAAAAAUAUAAAUGAACGGAAAAAUAGAAACGACUGAAAAUUAAUUUUUUGCGAGUUUCGUCAGUUUCUUUACUUUCACAAAUAAGGGGCCGAGCAUACAUUACGUAAGAUGGCUCAAAUAUGGCACCCUUGGAUUUCUGGCACAUUAAAACGUGUACUCCAUUAGUAAUAGUAGGAGUUGAAUGCUCUUUAGGAUAGUAGAAAAAAUGAUAAGCCUUAAAUGUCCAUUUUAUAUCUUGCGAAUGGAGUUGUAUUAAUAAAUAUUGCCUAUACAAGCAAAUCACAUUUAGACAUUCACUUUGCCAGAGAAGGAAUCUUAAUUAGAGUGUACUACCUGCAACGAAUGAUCCUAGAGGGUUUGGAGAAAGUCUCCGCGAUUCAAAAAAAAGGCAAUGAAACUAAGAUUGAAGGGCAGAGAUGUGGUUGCUGAUGCACGAUUUCGAAUUAAGAAAACCGCCACUUUUCUAUAUGACUUCGGCAAUCUCUGGAUGUAGAAGUUCGCGAAACUCAAGUUUCUGUUUU
Molecule: RNA transcript, 1213 nt
Organism: Belonocnema kinseyi
Lineage: Eukaryota; Metazoa; Arthropoda; Insecta; Hymenoptera; Cynipidae
Exons: 7
Source: RefSeq, a predicted model, not a curated record